GACGAACGCUGGCGGCGUGCUUAACACAUGCAAGUCGAACGGAAAGGCCCUGCGUUUGUUGGGUUCUCGAGUGGCGAACGGGUGAGUAACACGUGAGUAACCUGCCCUUGACUUUGGGAUAACUUCAGGAAACUGGGGCUAAUACCGGAUAGGAGCUCCUGCUGCAUGGUGGGGGUUGGAAAGUUUCGGCGGUUGGGGAUGGAAUCGCGGGUUAUCAGCUUGUUGGUGGGGUAGUUGCUUACCAAGGCUUUGACGGGUAGCCGGCCUGAGAGGGUGACCGGCCACAUUGGGACUGAGAUACGGACCAGACUGGUACGGGAGGCAGCAGUGGGAAAUAUUGCACAAUGGGCGGAAGCCUGAUGCAGCAACGCCGCGUGCGGAAUGACGGCCUUCGGGUUGUAAACCGAUUUCGCCUGAGACGAAGCGUGAGUGACGGUAACGGGUAAAGAAGCACCGGCUAACUACGUG
Molecule: ribosomal RNA, 468 nt
Filed under: uncultured bacterium
Lineage: Bacteria
Description: partial 16S ribosomal RNA
Rfam family: Bacterial small subunit ribosomal RNA
Source: RNAcentral